GCAACGAGCGCAACCCUUAUCAUUAGUUGCUACGCAAGGGCACUCUAAUGAGACUGCCGGUGACAAACCGGAGGAAGGUGGGGAUGACGUCAAGUCCUCAUGGCCCUUAUGGGUAGGGCUUCACACGUCAUACAAUGGUCGGUACAGAGGGUUGCCAAGCCGCGAGGUGGAGCCAAUCCCAGAAAGCCGAUCGUAGUCCGGAUUGUUCUCUGCAACUCGAGAGCAUGAAGUCGGAAUCGCUAGUAAUCGCGGAUCAGCAUGUCGCGGUGAAUACGUUCCCGGGUCUU
Molecule: ribosomal RNA, 287 nt
Filed under: uncultured Thiobacillus sp.
Lineage: Bacteria; Pseudomonadati; Pseudomonadota; Betaproteobacteria; Nitrosomonadales; Thiobacillaceae
Description: partial 16S ribosomal RNA
Rfam family: Bacterial small subunit ribosomal RNA
Source: RNAcentral